GCCAGGCAUGGUGGCGGGCGCCUGUAAUCCCAGCUACUCAGGAGGCUGAGGCAGGAGAAUUGCUUGAACCCGGGAGGUGGAGGUGCAGUGAGCCAAGAUUGUGCCACUGCACUCCAGCCUGGGUGACAGAGUGAGACUCUGUCUCAA
Molecule: non-coding RNA, 147 nt
Filed under: Pan troglodytes (chimpanzee)
Lineage: Eukaryota; Metazoa; Chordata; Mammalia; Primates; Hominidae
Source: Rfam by way of RNAcentral